RNAcentral lists this ribosomal RNA (500 nucleotides) under uncultured bacterium. RNAcentral's name for it is "partial 16S ribosomal RNA". It matches the Rfam family "Bacterial small subunit ribosomal RNA", at positions 30 to 523 of the family's 1533-position model. The record is from RNAcentral.
AUUGAACGCUGGCGGAAUGCUUUACACAUGCAAGUCGAACGGCAGCACGGACUUCGGUCUGGUGGCGAGUGGCGAACGGGUGAGUAAUGUAUCGGAACGUGCCCAGUCGUGGGGGAUAACGUAGUGAAAAUUACGCUAAUACCGCAUACGAUCUAUGGAUGAAAGCGGGGGAUCGCAAGACCUCGCGCGAUUGGAGCGGCCGAUAUCAGAUUAGGUAGUUGGUGGGGUAAAGGCCCACCAGGCCAACGAUCUGUAGCCGGUCUGAGAGGACGACCAGCCACACUGGAACUGAGACACGGUCCAGACUCCUACGGGAGGCAGCAGUGGGGAAUUUUGGACAAUGGGCGAAAGCCUGAUCCAGCCAUUCCGCGUGCAGGAUGAAGGCCCUCGGGUUGUAAACUGCUUUUGUACAGAACGAAAAGGUUUCUACUAAUACUAGGAGCUCAUGACGGUACGGUAAGAAUAAGCACCGGCUAACUACGUGCCAGCCGCCGCCGUAA